AUGCUAGCCCAGGGAAUCAUCCAGCCAAGUGUGAGCCCGUUUGCCUCUCCAGUCUUGCUAGUGCAGAAAAAAGACCUGACUUGGCGCUUUUGUGUGGAUUAUCGACACCUCAAUGCAAUCACAAUCAAGAACCGUUAUCCUCUUCCAGUUAUUGACGAGCUCGCAGGAACCCGGGUGUUCACCAGUCUAGACUUGCGGGCAGGUUACCACCAAAUCCGGAUGCCACCUGAGGACGAGCACAAGACGGCAUUCAAGACACACCAUGGUCACUUUGAGUUCAAAGUCCUGCCUUAUGGCGUCACCGGUGGUCCGCCAACCUUUCAGGGGGGCAUGAACAUA
RNAcentral lists this ribosomal RNA (339 nucleotides) under Triticum aestivum (bread wheat). RNAcentral's name for it is "partial small subunit ribosomal RNA". The record is from RNAcentral. Lineage: Eukaryota; Viridiplantae; Streptophyta; Magnoliopsida; Poales; Poaceae.